Strongylocentrotus purpuratus (purple sea urchin) is the source of this 1252-nucleotide long non-coding RNA. RefSeq lists it as uncharacterized. The transcript has 3 exons. NCBI's taxonomy places the organism in Eukaryota, Metazoa, Echinodermata, Echinoidea, Camarodonta, Strongylocentrotidae. The record is from RefSeq and is a predicted model, not a curated record.
CAAUUAAUGAAUUACCGCCAAACUUGGGUCAUGUAUGUAUCUUGCAGAGCCAAUGAACUGAUUAGAUUUUGGAGUCCUAAGGUCAAGGGUUAUUGGGCUUAUUAUGUAUGCAAAAAUAGCUUAAUCACGCUAUUCUGAGAACCUGGUAAUGGUUUACAAUCAAACUUGAGUUUUUAAAAUUGCUUCUGUUUUGGUUUGUAAAUCGCUCUAUGGCGGAGGCAUUUUUUUUCGACUGCAUGCAGUCGAAGAUCCAUCUAGUUUUCUCAUAACUCAAGAAUGAUAGGUGGACUGGUUGAAUUAGGGCCUUUGUUGAAUACUAUUACAUUCGAAAAAAAUUACAAAACUUGGUAAGGGUAUGUGAAAUUUAGUUGUUAACUGUUUGUGCUACCCACUGUUCACUAUUCAAUAAUCCAAUCGAUUACGAGUUGAUUUUUAUUUGAAAGUUGCGGUGAAACUCUCUUUCAAAAUGCAAUUACAUGAACUCUGAUCGACUUUACCAGAUGACUUGUGAAUUCUCUAAUUCCCAUAUGCUUAGUACAGGAAGUUCCCAUUGGCAUCAGGUCAAUCUUCUAACACUUAUUCAUUUCUGAGCUUCCGAUCAACAGUAGCUACGAUGGCUUUGUCAUCACAGCUAAUGGUGAAUCGAAACAAGUCCUUCAAGCCCAAGCUAAUUACCAGGCUACCUUUGAGAACAUGAUUCCUGGGGAGACUUACAAGCGUGGAUGCGUACCGGUAUUCCUUUCUGUAUCCGCCAGAUUUGACAAGUCAGGCCCUCAUGGAUUUUACUUCAGUGUCCGUAAAAACAGAUACUCCUGACUCGGCGAUGAUCAGUCAAUCACCUCCACCUUAAUCACAGUCAGCUGGGGAGCUGUGUCUGGUGUGGUUCAGUAUUCUGUCACUAUCAGCCUGUUAGAAGGACUUCGUACAGAAAAUAUCAUGAGCAGAAAAGUUGACUUCACGCAGCUCACUCCAGGGAGGUUAUAUACGAUCACCCUCAUCUCAGAAUCACCCGGAGGGUCUCGUGACUCAAGUGCACAGCUCCGUCUCCACCGUCAUCACUGGUUGCCGAGACUCUUGAUGUGGAUGAUACAGAAGGCCUUCAACUUUACUGGACAAUAUAGCUACCAUCAGCAGGAGAGUGGGAUGCCAUUAAUUACUUAACUGUUUCCAGUGAAAAAUUACUACCGGUAUAUACUGGUGUUAAAAGGGUUGGCUUGGAGGUGAUUAACCCUAUUUAGCCCGGGCUAUUUUG